Molecule: ribosomal RNA, 386 nt
Filed under: uncultured bacterium
Lineage: Bacteria
Description: bacterial SSU rRNA
Rfam family: Bacterial small subunit ribosomal RNA
Source: RNAcentral
AUUGAACGCUGGCGGCAGGCUUAACACAUGCAAGUCGAGCGGAGACUUCGGUCUUAGCGGCGAACGGGUGAGUAAUACCUAGGAAUCUGCCUAUUAGUGGGGGAUAACGAAUCGAAAGGUUCGCUAAUACCGCAUACGUCCUACGGGAGAAAGGGGGGGAUCUUCGGACCUCUCGCUAAUAGAUGAGCCUAGGCCGGAUUAGCUAGUUGGUAGGGUAAAGGCCUACCAAGGCGACGAUCUGUAGCUGGUCUGAGAGGAUGGCCAGCCACACUGGAACUGAGACACGGUCCAGACUCCUACGGGAGGCAGCAGUGGGGAAUAUUGGACAAUGGGGGCAACCCUGAUCCAGCCAUGCCGCGUGUGUGAAGAAGGCCUUCGGUUGUAAG